CGGAAACGGGUGCUAAUACUGGAUAUUCACUGAUUCUCGCAUGGGGGUUGGUGGAAAGGUUUUUUCUGGUGGGGGAUGGGCUCGCGGCCUAUCAGCUUGUUGGUGGGGUGAUGGCCUACCAAGGCUUUGACGGGUAGCCGGCCUGAGAGGGUGACCGGUCACAUUGGGACUGAGAUACGGCCCAGACUCCUACGGGAGGCAGCAGUGGGGAAUAUUGCACAAUGGGCGAAAGCCUGAUGCAGCGACGCCGCGUGAGGGAUGGAGGCCUUCGGGUUGUAAACCUCUUUCGCUCAUGGUCAAGCCGCAACUUAGGGUUGUGGUGAGGGUAGUGGGUAAAGAAGCGCCGGCUAACUACGUGCCAGCAGCCGCGGUAAUACGUAGGGCGCGAGCGUUGUCCGGAAUUAUUGGGCGUAAAGGGCUUGUAGGCGGUUGGUCGCGUCUGCCGUGAAAUCCUCUGGCUUAACUGGGGGCGUGCGGUGGGUACGGGCUGACUUGAGUGCGGUAGGGGAGACUGGAACUCCUGGUGUAGCGGUGGAAUGCGCAGAUAUCAGGAAGAACACCGGUGGCGAAGGCGGGUCUCUGGGCCGU
Molecule: ribosomal RNA, 588 nt
Filed under: uncultured Actinomycetes bacterium
Lineage: Bacteria; Bacillati; Actinomycetota; Actinomycetes
Description: bacterial SSU rRNA
Rfam family: Bacterial small subunit ribosomal RNA
Source: RNAcentral